GGGGCAACAGCGCGGCGAGCCUUACCAGAUAAGCAAGACAGGCAUUCUGUAAUGUCUGCUUUGGGAUCAGAGGGUCGAAGGUUCGAAUCCUUUCGCUCCG
RNAcentral lists this transfer RNA (100 nucleotides) under Burkholderia multivorans. RNAcentral describes it as "tRNA-Ser". The record is from RNAcentral. Lineage: Bacteria; Pseudomonadati; Pseudomonadota; Betaproteobacteria; Burkholderiales; Burkholderiaceae.